This 330-nucleotide unclassified non-coding RNA is filed under the name soil metagenome. RNAcentral describes it as "partial contains 5.8S ribosomal RNA, internal transcribed spacer 2, and large subunit ribosomal RNA". The stretch from base 1 to 120 matches the Rfam family "5.8S ribosomal RNA", at positions 35 to 154 of the family's 154-position model. The record is from RNAcentral.
GAUGAAGAACGUAGCGAAAUGCGAUAAGUAGUGUGAAUUGCAGAAUUCAGUGAAUCAUCGAAUCUUUGAACGCACAUUGCGCCCCCUGGUAUUCCGGGGGGCAUGCCUGUUCGAGCGUCAUUACAACCCUCAAGCUCUGCUUGGUAUUGGGCCCCGCCAGUUCUGGCGGGCCCUAAAGUCAGUGGCGGUGCCUUCCGGCUCCGAGCGUAGUAAUUCUUCUCGCUCUGGAGACCCGGUUGUGUGCUUGCCAACAACCCCCAAUUUUUUAAGGUUGACCUCGGAUCAGGUAGGGAUACCCGCUGAACUUAAGCAUAUCAAUAAGCGGAGGGA